RNAcentral lists this ribosomal RNA (274 nucleotides) under uncultured bacterium. RNAcentral's name for it is "partial 16S ribosomal RNA". It matches the Rfam family "Bacterial small subunit ribosomal RNA", at positions 523 to 796 of the family's 1533-position model. The record is from RNAcentral.
AUACGGAGGGGGCUAGCGUUGUUCGGAAUUACUGGGCGUAAAGGGCACGUAGGCGGGUUCCUAAGUCGGGGGUGAAAUCCCGGGGCUCAACCCCGGAACUGCCCUCGAUACUGUGAGUCUCGAGGACGGGAGAGGCGAGUGGAAUUCCGAGUGUAGAGGUGAAAUUCGUAGAUAUUCGGAGGAACACCAGUGGCGAAGGCGGCUCGCUGGCCCGAUCCUGACGCUGAGGUGCGAAAGCGUGGGGAGCAAACAGGAUUAGAAACCCUAGUAGUCC